UACGGGGGGAGCAAGCGUUGUUCGGAUUUACUGGGCGUAAAGGGCGCGUAGGCGGCCUCUGCAAGUCGACUGUGAAAUCUCCGGGCUUAACCCGGAAAGGUCAGCCGAUACUGCAGGGCUAGAGUGCAGAAGGGGCAACUGGAAUUCUCGGUGUAGCGGUGAAAUGCGUAGAUAUCGAGAGGAACACCUGCGGCGAAGGCAGCCCCCUGGGCUAACACUGACGCUCAGGCACGAAAGCGUGGGGAGCAAACAGG
RNAcentral lists this ribosomal RNA (254 nucleotides) under uncultured bacterium. Its description in RNAcentral is "partial 16S ribosomal RNA". It matches the Rfam family "Bacterial small subunit ribosomal RNA", at positions 524 to 776 of the family's 1533-position model. The record is from RNAcentral.